Molecule: ribosomal RNA, 659 nt
Filed under: uncultured forest soil bacterium
Lineage: Bacteria
Description: bacterial SSU rRNA
Rfam family: Bacterial small subunit ribosomal RNA
Source: RNAcentral
GAACGCCUGUAGCAAUACAGGAGUGGCGCACGGGUGAGUAACGCGUGGGAACCUGCCCUGGAGUGGGGGAUAACCGAGGGAAACUUCGGCUAAUACCGCAUACGACCUGAGGGUGAAAGAUUUAUCGCUCUAGGAGGGGCCCGCGUCGGAUUAGCUAGUUGGUGGGGUAACGGCCUACCAAGGCUACGAUCCGUAGCUGGUCUGAGAGGAUGACCAGCCACACUGGGACUGAGACACGGCCCAGACUCCUACGGGAGGCAGCAGUGGGGAAUAUUGGACAAUGGGGGCAACCCUGAUCCAGCAAUGCCGCGUGAGUGAUGAAGGCCUUAGGGUUGUAAAGCUCUUUCGGCGGGGACGAUGAUGACGGUACCCGCAGAAGGAGCCCCGGCUAACUUCGUGCCAGCAGCCGCGGUAAUACGAAGGGGGCGAGCGUUGUUCGGAAUUACUGGGCGUAAAGGGCGCGCAGGCGGCUCAGACAGUCAGGUGUGAAAGCCCCGGGCUUAACCUGGGAACUGCACUUGAUACUACUGAGCUUGAGUACGGGAGAGGAUAGUGGAAUUCCCAGUGUAGAGGGGAAAUUCGUAGAUAUUGGGAAGAACACCGGUGGCGAAGGCGGCUAUCUGGACCGUAACUGACGCUGAGGCGCGAAAGCGUGGGGA